UUUUUAUUUAUUUAUAUUGCUUAUUAAAAAGAUUUAAUUCAAGUGCUAUUUAUGUUAAGUUAUAAUUUAGUAAAAGAAUAUUAAGGGCAAUUUGGAUAUAGACUAUAUUUUAUAGUCGAGAUUAUUGAAUUUUAUAAACUAAACAAAUAUAGUAAUUCCAUAUACACUGUAAUCUAGUAUUAUAUUACUAUAUUAAACCAAAGACGAUAAUACAGUAGUAAUAUAAUUCAGAAAUCUUUAAAUAUUCGAUUAUGUUAAAAUAAUAUGUAAUGCUGUAUGACUUGAACUAAAAAAAGAAAUAAAUGUCUGCUGAGUUAAGAAACGAGAUUUAUUAGUCAUAUGGUUGGUGGUCAUCGACUGGAGUAGUCAGCCUGAUUCGGCUCUGAGUAGGGGUGUUAACGAGCCGAACACGAGCAAGCUGGGACCAGCUUAUGUUCGGCUUAUUUAAUAAAUGAGCCAAACACGAGUCAGCUCGUUAAAGUAUGGAGACGAAAAAUUCAACUCAUAUUUGGCUCGUUAUUAAACGAGCAGAAUGCGAGCUGGACAAUGAACAAUAAAUUAAAUAGAUUAGAUUGGAUAUACAUAAAAAAUAAAUUUAUAAAAUCUUACCCAUUAGACUUUGAUCUAAUAGUUUAAAAUUUACAUAUAAAUAAAUUAUUUUAUAAUUGAACUCAGCUUUAUAUAUGGUUUUUUUGCUAAAAAUCAAACAAAAAAAAUAUUAUAUAUAUAUAUAUAAUUAUUUAGUUAUAUAUAUAAAUAUAUAUAAAAAUAAAUUAAAUAAAUUAUAUAAAUAUAAAAUAUAUGUAUUUGUGUUGGUACCGAGCCGAAUACGAGCGGGCUGAUCCUGUUCGUGCUCGACUUAUUUAUUAAAAGAACCGAAAAAUUUGACUCUUUGUUUG
RNAcentral lists this long non-coding RNA (899 nucleotides) under Ananas comosus (pineapple). RNAcentral describes it as "long non-coding RNA (ACOM_LNC013835)". The record is from RNAcentral. Lineage: Eukaryota; Viridiplantae; Streptophyta; Magnoliopsida; Poales; Bromeliaceae.